RNAcentral lists this ribosomal RNA (206 nucleotides) under uncultured bacterium. RNAcentral's name for it is "partial 16S ribosomal RNA". It matches the Rfam family "Bacterial small subunit ribosomal RNA", at positions 1294 to 1500 of the family's 1533-position model. The record is from RNAcentral.
CGGAUUGAAGGCUGAAAUUCGCCUUCAUGAAGCUGGAAUUGCUAGUAAUGGCAGGUCAGCAUACUGCCGUGAAUACGUUCCCGGGCCUUGUACACACCGCCCGUCACACCAUGAGAGCCGAUAACACCCGAAGCCUGUGAGCUAACUUUAAGAGGCAGCAGUCGAAGGUAGAAUCAAUGAUUGGGGUGAAGUCGUAACAAGGUAUC